RNAcentral lists this ribosomal RNA (689 nucleotides) under uncultured Bacteroidales bacterium. Its description in RNAcentral is "bacterial SSU rRNA". It matches the Rfam family "Bacterial small subunit ribosomal RNA", at positions 50 to 727 of the family's 1533-position model. Lineage: Bacteria; Pseudomonadati; Bacteroidota; Bacteroidia; Bacteroidales. The record is from RNAcentral.
AACACAUGCAAGUCGAGGGGCAGCAUGUCUUAGCUUGCUAAGGCUGAUGGCGACCGGCGCACGGGUGAGUAACACGUAUCCAACCUGCCGUCUACUCUUGGCCAGCCUUCUGAAAGGAAGAUUAAUCCAGGAUGGCAUCAUGAGUUCACAUGUCCGCAUGAUUAAAGGUAUUUUCCGGUAGACGAUGGGGAUGCGUUCCAUUAGAUAGUAGGCGGGGUAACGGCCCACCUAGUCAACGAUGGAUAGGGGUUCUGAGAGGAAGGUCCCCCACAUUGGAACUGAGACACGGUCCAAACUCCUACGGGAGGCAGCAGUGAGGAAUAUUGGUCAAUGGGCGAUGGCCUGAACCAGCCAAGUAGCGUGAAGGAUGACUGCCCUAUGGGUUGUAAACUUCUUUUAUAAAGGAAUAAAGUCGGGUAUGCAUACCCGUUUGCAUGUACUUUAUGAAUAAGGAUCGGCUAACUCCGUGCCAGCAGCCGCGGUAAUACGGAGGAUCCGAGCGUUAUCCGGAUUUAUUGGGUUUAAAGGGAGCGUAGAUGGAUGUUUAAGUCAGUUGUGAAAGUUUGCGGCUCAACCGUAAAAUUGCAGUUGAUACUGGAUGUCUUGAGUGCAGUUGAGGCAGGCGGAAUUCGUGGUGUAGCGGUGAAAUGCUUAGAUAUCACGAAGAACUCCGAUUGCGAAGGCAGCCU